GUCAGACCUCUCUACCAUGAUCCGACCGUCUUGGGUGGCCCUACAUGGCAUGGCUUAGUUUCAUUGAGUUAGAGAGGACUGUGGUCCUGUGAUCAGAUUGGCUAGUUUCCUGUGAUUAUGGCUUUAGUGUGUCUGCCUUAAUCCUAGCCCCUCACAAUGUGGUGGUAUUAGGAGUUAGGGCCCUGGAGUCCUCAGGAAUGGGAUGAGUGCCCUUUCAAAAGAGACCCCAGAGAGCUCCCUAGCCCUGUCCUUACCUUGGGAGGAGGAUACAAGGAGAAUCUGGCAGUGUGCAGUCUGGAAGAGGACCCUCAUUACAACCUGACCACACUGGCACCCUCAUCUCAGCGUUUCAGCCUUCAGAAUUGUUAAAAGUAAAUUUAUGUUGUUUAUUUUCCAGUCAAACUAUGGUUUCCUGUGAUAGCAGCCCAGGCGGACCUAAACAGAUGCUGACUUUACCAGAGUGCCUGGUGGGAGCAGCGGCUGCUGCCACGUUGGUCCUACCUGUUGUCUGCUACACGAGGAGGUGGGGUGUUGCUCCAGGACCUUGCUCCGGAAAGG
Long non-coding RNA from Cervus elaphus (red deer), 558 nucleotides. RefSeq lists it as uncharacterized. The record is from RefSeq and is a predicted model, not a curated record. The transcript is spliced from 2 exons. NCBI's taxonomy places the organism in Eukaryota, Metazoa, Chordata, Mammalia, Artiodactyla, Cervidae.